This 254-nucleotide ribosomal RNA is filed under the name uncultured bacterium. RNAcentral describes it as "partial 16S ribosomal RNA". It matches the Rfam family "Bacterial small subunit ribosomal RNA", at positions 524 to 776 of the family's 1533-position model. The record is from RNAcentral.
UACGUAGGGGGGCGAGCGUUGUCCGGAAUUAUUGGGCGUAAAGCGCGCGCAGGCGGUUUUGUAAGUCGGGUGUGAAAGCCCCGGGCUCAACCUGGGAAUUGCAUUCGAGACUGCAUGGCUAGGGUGCGGAAGAGGGAAGCGGAAUUUCCGGUGUAGCGGUGAAAUUCGUAGAUAUUCGGAAGAACACCAGUGGCGAAGGCGACUUACUGGACACAUAUUGACGCUGAGGUGCGAAAGCGUGGGGAGCAAACAGG